Molecule: ribosomal RNA, 404 nt
Filed under: uncultured bacterium
Lineage: Bacteria
Description: bacterial SSU rRNA
Rfam family: Bacterial small subunit ribosomal RNA
Source: RNAcentral
AGCGUUUGACAUGGCAGGACGACUUCCAGAGAUGGAUUUCUUCCCUUCGGGGACCUGCACACAGGUGCUGCAUGGCUGUCGUCAGCUCGUGUCGUGAGAUGUUGGGUUAAGUCCCGCAACGAGCGCAACCCUCGCCUUUAGUUGCCAUCAUUUAGUUGGGCACUUUAAAGGAACCGCCGGUGAUAAGCCGGAGGAAGGUGGGGAUGACGUCAAGUCCUCAUGGCCCUUACGCGCUGGGCUACACACGUGCUACAAUGGCGGUGACAGUGGGCAGCAAGCACGCGAGUGUGAGCUAAUCUCCAAAAGCCGUCUCAGUUCGGAUUGUUCUCUGCAACUCGAGAGCAUGAAGGCGGAAUCGCUAGUAAUCGCGGAUCAGCAUGCCGCGGUGAAUACGUUCCCAGGCC